This 460-nucleotide ribosomal RNA is filed under the name uncultured bacterium. RNAcentral's name for it is "partial 16S ribosomal RNA". It matches the Rfam family "Bacterial small subunit ribosomal RNA", at positions 338 to 795 of the family's 1533-position model. The record is from RNAcentral.
CCUACGGGCGGCAGCAGUGAGGAAUAUUGGUCAAUGGCCGUAAGGCUGAACCAGCCAAGUCGCGUGAAGGAAGAAGGAUCUAUGGUUUGUAAACCUCUUUUGUAGGGGAAUAAAGGUAUCCACGUGUGGAUUUUUGCAUGUACCCUAUGAAUAAGCAUCGGCUAACUCCGUGCCAGCAGCCGCGGUAAUACGGAGGAUGCGAGCGUUAUCCGGAUUUAUUGGGUUUAAAGGGUGCGUAGGUGGGUGUUUAAGUCAGCGGUGAAAGUUUGUGGCUCAACCAUAAAAUUGCCGUUGAAACUGGAAGACUUGAGUGUGUUUGAGGUAGGCGGAAUGCGUGGUGUAGCGGUGAAAUGCAUAGAUAUCACGCAGAACUCCGAUUGCGAAGGCAGCUUACUAAGCCAUAACUGACACUGAAGCACGAAAGCGUGGGGAUCAAACAGGAUUAGAUACCCCUGUAGUC